CUUAAUGGUGCCUCUACUAGUUUUGGAUUCGAUUCACCAAUCGAACCCAAUUCUGUAUGUGUCGGUCCUUCCACCUCAUGAACCUCAUCAAGUUUAAUUUUACAAGCAUUAGCUCCUUCACCAAGGAACUCUUUUUUCAAAAAGACUGCCCGACUGCUGACAAACACCUUUUGUUCUGCAGUGAGGGAGAAGUAGUACCCUUUAGUUUUCUUUGGAUAUCCUACGAAUAAGCAUCAUCAGACUUCGAUCCAAGCUUAUCUGUCUUUAAAUGCUUGACAUAAGC
This 283-nucleotide long non-coding RNA is filed under the name Elaeis guineensis (African oil palm). RNAcentral's name for it is "long non-coding RNA (EGUI_LNC024454)". The record is from RNAcentral. Lineage: Eukaryota; Viridiplantae; Streptophyta; Magnoliopsida; Arecales; Arecaceae.